RNAcentral lists this ribosomal RNA (402 nucleotides) under Paralichthys olivaceus (Japanese flounder). RNAcentral's name for it is "partial 16S ribosomal RNA". It matches the Rfam family "Bacterial large subunit ribosomal RNA", at positions 1963 to 2502 of the family's 2925-position model. Lineage: Eukaryota; Metazoa; Chordata; Actinopteri; Pleuronectiformes; Paralichthyidae. The record is from RNAcentral.
AAUCACUUGUCUUUUAAAUGAAGACCCGUAUGAAUGGCAUAACGAGGGCUUAGCUGUCUCCUUCCCCCAGUCAAUGAAAUUGAUCUCCCCGUGCAGAAGCGGGGAUAACCUCAUAAGACGAGAAGACCCUAUGGAGCUUUAGACGCAAGGGCAGAUCAUGUCAAAUACACCCAGCUAAGGGCCCUGAACUAAAUGAAACCAGCCCUGAUGUCUUCGGUUGGGGCGACCAUGGGGAACACAAAACCCCCACGUGGAAAAGGAGUACACCCCUACAUUCCUCUCCUCCUACAAGCUAGAGCGACAGCUCUAAUCAGCAGAAAUUCUGACCAAACUGAUCCGGCAACGCCGAUCAACGAACCAAGUUACCCUAGGGAUAACAGCGCAAUCCCCUUUUAGAGCCCA